UGGGAGGUGGAGGCUGGUGUAUGUUCUAAGCUCUUGGUGAAACUCAGGUAUGUAUCCCCUGAUGGCCAUCAUCACAAACAGGAUGCUCACCCAGCUGAACCUUUCCUGAUCCUGUACAGCUGUUCUACAAAUCCAUCGAAUAUCUGUGGUGAAAAACUCACACUACCUUUAAAUUCUCCAGGUCUCAUCCCAGUUAGGAGGCAUCAGUGCUGCAAUAGUUGGCAAGGUUUUAACGGAAACACACGUCCUCUUACAAGGAUUUCCUUGACACCUUUAAAUUCAGCUGAAUCGAGGGAACAGGGCUCAAGUUCCUCCUCAAAUCCCCUACUUGAAAUUAAUUUCCCCCACUGACCUCAAAAUUGGUCGGUGGAAACUCCCUUCAGGACCUGACAUAGCUCUUUUCACCAAGCGUGGAUCCAGGGCAGGGGUUUCCUUAUCCCCAUUUUAAGUAAACAGCUUAAUUCUCAUUUAGACUGAGCUCUUCAGUACGUGCUAUGGCAGUGUUUUAACUAUCUGCAUUGGUACAGUUAAUUUCUUUCACAAACUUUUUCUUACAAAUUCUUAAUGUCCAGCUACCCUUUUAUUUAAUUAUUUUUUGUUAUUCCUCCUUGGCCAGACGAGGUUUUUUGGAAGGAAUUACGUUUUCCAGAUCUUUCCCCUGCAUCUGGCCAUUCAGCUAUCUCACCUAACACUAGAUUAAGGUGUGUACCCAGAGAGCUUAUCUUCCCUUCAGGUGAACUAAUACAAAAUUUCCAUGGACUCUACCUUUUGCCAAAUGUUGCCACAAACCAAAUGUUCAUUUCUUUAAGCGUUUCUCCAAUGUCCACUGUAUAGGUCUAGUGCCUCUUACAUAUUCCUUAUAUUCCUUAGUGGUCACUUUUUUGCCAGUUUGUGUUUUGUUUGUUUUUUUUUUUUUAAUUUUGCAGGUCUCUAUUUCUUAUUGUCUGUAGUCAUUUUCUGCCCCCACCUUGCAACUUUUUGCUCUCUAUCCUUCUCCUUUGAUGUCCUAUAAACUUAGUUUUUGAUAGAAAAAAAAAUAUUUUCAUCUCUAAUAUGUAUUUUUUUCUCUGG
RNAcentral lists this long non-coding RNA (1071 nucleotides) under Calidris pugnax (ruff). RNAcentral's name for it is "lncRNA (ENSCPUG00000009926.1)". Lineage: Eukaryota; Metazoa; Chordata; Aves; Charadriiformes; Scolopacidae. The record is from RNAcentral.